This 466-nucleotide unclassified non-coding RNA is filed under the name Hevea brasiliensis (rubber tree). The record is from RNAcentral. Lineage: Eukaryota; Viridiplantae; Streptophyta; Magnoliopsida; Malpighiales; Euphorbiaceae.
GAGGAUGUGACAGCAACCAAGGGAAACGAUUUCGAAGACUAUUUUCUAAAGCGUGAACUGCUUAUGGGAAUUUACGAAAAGGGAUUUGAGAGGCCAUCACCAAUCCAGGAGGAGAGUAUUCCAAUUGUUCUAACAGGAAGUGAUAUUUUGGCGAGGGCUAAGAAUGGAACUGGGAAGACUGCUGCCUUCUGCAUCCCUGCAUUAGAAAAAAUUGAUCAGGACAACAAUGUCAUUCAAGUUAUUAUCCUUGUCCCGACUAGGGAAUUGGCUCUUCAAACAUCUCAAGUUUGCAAAGAACUUGGGAAGCACUUAAAAAUUCAAGUCAUGGUUUCCACUGGGGGGACCAGCUUAAAAGACGACAUAAUGAGACUGUAUCAGCCAGUUCAUUUACUUGUUGGUACUCCUGGAAGAAUUCUUGACCUUGCAAAAAAGGGUGUGUGUGUUUUGAAAGAUUGCUCCAUGUUUA